AGCGAGGCUGUGAAGCGGAGCAAAUCUCAAAACCGGUCCCAGUUCGGAUUGUAGGCUGCAACUCGCCUACAUGAAGUCGGAGUUGCUAGUAAUCGCGGAUCAGAAUGCCGCGGUGAAUGCGUUCCCGGGUCUUGUACACACCGCCCGUCACACCAUGGAAGUUGGGGGCGCCCGAAGUUGCCUAAGAAAUAAGGUACCUAAGGCGAAACCAAUGACUGGGGUGAAGUCGUAACAAGGUAUC
Molecule: ribosomal RNA, 241 nt
Filed under: uncultured bacterium
Lineage: Bacteria
Description: partial 16S ribosomal RNA
Rfam family: Bacterial small subunit ribosomal RNA
Source: RNAcentral